UUUUGAAACUACGCCAGACCCACCACACUUAGCCAAAGCGACAGCAGCUGCCGAAAGACAAAGCAAGGAUCCAGCAUUAAUCCUAUCAUGAGAGCUUCACUCUUAUAAUCUAAUUACCUCCCAAAGCUCCACCUUCUAAUACCGUCACACUGGGAAUUAGAAUUUCAACAUACGAAUUUGAAGGUGUAGGGGGAAGAAACCUCCAAUCCAUAAGAGAAGAGAAAGGAGGAGAAGGAAAACAAAAAAAAGGAAGAUGGAGUUUCACUCUGGUUGUCCAAGCUAGAGUGAAAUAG
Molecule: long non-coding RNA, 293 nt
Filed under: Callithrix jacchus (white-tufted-ear marmoset)
Lineage: Eukaryota; Metazoa; Chordata; Mammalia; Primates; Cebidae
Description: lncRNA (ENSCJAG00000056433.2)
Source: RNAcentral